This 935-nucleotide ribosomal RNA is filed under the name Draco fimbriatus. Its description in RNAcentral is "partial large subunit ribosomal RNA". It matches the Rfam family "Bacterial large subunit ribosomal RNA", at positions 1310 to 2599 of the family's 2925-position model. The record is from RNAcentral. Lineage: Eukaryota; Metazoa; Chordata; Lepidosauria; Squamata; Agamidae.
ACGAAUAUAAGUUCAAACUUAGGGCCCUACGAUCCCAAAAAUGCCCCCUUGCCCUAAGAUCUAGUCAAUGAAGGUACAACUCCAUUGACAGAGGAGACAGCCCAAACCAGAGAGAAAGCCCCACAUUUUUUCCCGUGGGCCUCAAAAAGCCACCGCAAAACAGAACGUUAAAGUACCAACAAUUAAAAUACUAACAACACAUACAACCUCCUGGCCCCCCACCAGCCACUCUAUAAACAUAGAAGAGAUGAUGCUAAAACUAGUAACAAGAAAAAUUCUCCACGAACAAACCUCUACCCUUACAGACCAAACCCGGCAAUAUGAAAUGUAUUUCACACACCAUUUUUAUUACUGUAAAACCAACCCAGGGUUGUUCACGGAGACUCGCAGCCAGAAAAGGAACUCGGCAAACAAUUUUUCCAACUGUUUACCAAAAACAUAGCCUUUAGCCACCCUACAGUAUUAAAGGUAACGCCUGCCCAGUGAGGACCCACCCUUUAACGGCCGCGCUUAAUACCGUGCAAAGGUAGCAAAAUAUUUGUCCUCUAAAUAGGGACCAGCAUGAAUGGCAACAUGAGAAAACCCCUGUCUCUUCUAGCUAGUCAGUGAAAMUGACUGCCUGUUCAAAAGCAGGCAUAAAAAAACAAGACAAAAAGACCCUGUGAAACUUAAAAUGCCCGCCAACCAAAUGCCGGGCAUUUUUCGGUUGGGGCAACCAAUGAGAAAUAAACCUCAUAAAAUCACAAGGCACACAAGCCGAGUACAUCAGACGAUCCAGUACCACUGAUCAAAGAACAAAGCUACUCCAGGGAUAACAGCGCCACAUUCUUUAAGGUCCAUAUCAACAAGAAUACCUACGACCUCGAUGUUGGAUCAGGGCACCCAAAUGGUGCAGAAGCUAUUAAAGGUUCKUUGUUCAACGAUUAAAGCCCUAC